UUUUAAGAAAAAACUUCAAGCUCUGUGUAUGUGUUAAAGUAGAUACUAGACCAUAAGGUUAAUGAGAAAACAUCUAGUAAAGUAAAAAGUUAUUUUAUUUGACGAGGUCUGUAUCAACAGUAAAUUUUUUUUCUUGCUUUAGGUGUGGAUUUUAAAUAGCUUUUCAUAGCAGAAAUUUAUUUUUGCUUUUCCCAUUUCUAAGCAUAAUAUGAAAAUUUAAAUUAUCCUAAUUGCCUCUACUGAGAAACUCAUAUGGGAAAAAGUCUAAGUUGGAUGUCUAAAAAUGUCUAAUUUGAACUGGAAACAUUUUAUCUUUGAAAUGUACUGGUUCUCAGUGCAAAGUUGAACAGUAAUUUCAGAACAAGCCUUUAAGGAAAUAAAGUAUUAAAACAAAAAGGACUGGCAGUAUAACUUCACAGAAAAGUUUAAUAAAGUAACUUGCCCUUGUAUUACUCAAGUACAUAGUAGGCCCUUGAUACAUGUAGAUUAGUUCAACAUACACCUUUUAUACUUUAGUGUACCCUAAAAUGUUCAUAUAAACAAGGGGUUCUAGAUUAAAGAUAAUUUUUAAAAGGCUGCAAAAGUGAAAUCAGUAUACUAAAUAUUUGUGUACCUUAAAACAUUAAAAAAAAGCACUAAGUUUUCCAGUGAUGUUACACAGUAUUUUAAAUGGUUUAAUAAGAAAUGGUACAGCGUAUUUGUGAUGUUAGUUUAGACAAUACCUAAUGAUGAGGACCAGUGAAAUGUUAUAUACCACUGUGGAAAACCAUUCUAGGAAGAAAUUUGACAGUAUCUUGUUCUUACCCUUUGAUCAAGCAACUGUAUUGAUGUUGAUCCUAAAAAAAAUAAUUAGAAAUGUGUAUAAAUUUACAAUAGAAAAUGGUAAUCAUUAUGUCAAUGAAAUUAAAUGGCAUUAAUAGUUUAAAGACAGUACAUUCUGAAGGAAAAUAAUGCAUCAUUGAAGAUGAUCUGUGUAUUCAUAAUAACAUGGGAAAAUAUUCAUGAAAGCGUACAUGCAUCAUUUUUUAAAAAAAACUAAUUUCUGAACGUAUCUGUUCUGCACUUUGGAGGGUAAGAUCUUAAGGAAAUAAAAAUGACGCGCCGGCUCUGGGGUUAGAACUACUUCAAAUCCCGGUUUUGCUAGCUGUAGGAUUCUGAGCAAGUUCCUUUACGUCUCAGUAAUCUAGCUGUGAAUUGGGAAAAUGAGUACCUCCAUCAUGAGGUGUGGAGGUUAAAUUAAAGUGUUUAGCGCGCCGCCUAAAUAAAUGUUAACUUGUUACGAUGUCUUCCUGCAUUUCUCAGAGUAGCGGAAAAUAGGAAAUUAAAAUUCAGAAAUAGGAUGACUUAAGCGAAAGCUCCACGAGGCAAAAGGGAUUUAACCUAACUUGCCAAUUUGCCUUGUCCAAACGCUUGGGAUUUUGAUUAGGCCCGCGAGGCCGUGGUGACUUGAGCUCUACCUUGCCCCUGAGCGCGCAGAAUAUGCUCUCGCAGGGGUGGCGGCCCGGUGGGUUUGACUCCCGUAUUCCAGGGAUGUUUCACUCACCCCCCGCCCCGCCCCCGCCAAGCCAAUUAAGGACUCAGAAUCGUCCCCUGUUCUCUCCCUUGGGCGUCGCGUAAAGCUCGACCUGUGCCCAUCCGGAGCAGAGCCUACGUUCAGGAGGCGUGGAGAGUGGCGGGGGCUGCGACCACGCACUCCAUCCCUCCGCCGGCUCGCGUCACAAAGACUACAGUCCCCAGCGGGCCUCGCGAGCUCAGGAUGUCCCGCAGGCAGGGCCCGGCGGCUGCGCGGGGCUGUAGUUUCUCCCGUGCUCCGGCACAACCUUCCUUUUCUCCUCCGCGAUACAGGCGGUUACUGGCUGCUGCAGCUUCCCCCCGAUUUCCGAAAAAGGCUCCUCGCCAGUGGAGUCCGGCCCCUCGUAGGAGACGGCGCGCGACCCUGGCCAAGAGGGCGGAGCGGGGCGACGCGCUGGGCCUCGCGCGGGGUGACGACCUCGAGCACGUCGUGCGGCAGUCCCCUCGGCCGGCAGCCGGAGGGGAGGGGGCGGGGGCUGCGCACGCGCGGCGGGGCCUUGGGCGGGGCCUUGGGCGGCUGCAGCCUGCGGACAGUCCGCCGGUCCGCGGCUGUGUGGGUAGCUGCGCGGCCGGCGGGGCUGAAACGCGGGAGGUUGAUGGGGGUGGCCUCGACCUCGGCCUAAAUCUGUAGCAGAGCUUCGGCCACGCCAACGGAGAUGGUGUCCUGGGUGAGGACGAUGGGGGAGAAGCUGAAGCAGCGGCUGCGGCUGGACGUGGGACGCGAGAUCUGCCGCCAGUACCCGCUGUUCUGCUUCCUGCUGCUCUGCCUCAGCGUCGCCUCCCUGCUCCUCAACAGGUAUCUUCAUGUUUUAAUGAUCUUCUGGUCAUUUGUUGCUGGAGUUGUUACAUUCUAUUGCUCAUUGGGACCGGAUUCUCUCUUACCAAAUAUAUUCUUCACAAUAAAAUACAAACCCAAGCAGUUAGGACUUCAAGAAUUAUUUCCUCAAGGUCGUAGUUGUGCUGUUUGCGGUAAAGUGAAAUGUAAACGGCAUAGGCCUUCCUUACUACUUGAAAACUACCAGCCGUGGCUAGAUCUGAAAAUUUCUUCCAAGGUUGAUGCAUCUCUCUCAGAGGUUCUUGAAUUAGUGUUGGAAAACUUUGUUUAUCCAUGGUACAGGGAUGUAACAGAUGAUGAGUCCUUUGUUGAUGAACUGAGAAUUACAUUACGGUUUUUUGCAUCUGUCUUAAUUCGAAGGAUUCACAAGGUGGAUAUUCCAUCUAUUAUAACCAAGAAACUAUUAAAAGCAGCAAUGAAGCAUAUAGAGGUGAUAGUUAAAGCCAGUCAGAAAGUAGAAAAUACAGAGUUUUUACAGCAAGCUGCUUUAGAAGAAUAUGGUCCAGAGCUUCAUGUGGCUUUGAGGAGUCGAAGAGAUGAAUUACACUAUUUAAGGAAACUUACUGAACUGCUUUUUCCUUAUAUUUUGCCUCCUAAAGCAACAGACUGCAGAUCCCUGACCUUACUUUUAAGAGAGAUCCUUUCCGGUUCGGUGUUCCUUCCUUCUUUGGAUUUCCUAGCUGAUCCAGAUACUGUGAAUCAUUUGCUUAUCAUCUUCAUAGAUGACAGUCCACCUGAAAAAGCAACUGAACUGCCUUCCCCCUUGGUUCCAUUCUUGCAGAAAUUUGCAGAACCUAGAAAUAAAAAGCCGUCUGUGCUGAAGUUAGAAUUGAAGCAAAUCAGAGAGCAGCAAGAUCUCUUAUUUCGUUUUAUGAACUUUCUGAAACAAGAAGGAGCGGUGCAUGUAUUGCAAAUAUGUCUGACUGUGGAGGAAUUCAAUGAUAGAAUUUUACGACCAGAGUUAUCAAAUGAUGAAAUGCUUUCUCUUCAUGAAGAAUUGCAGAAGAUUUAUAAAACAUAUUGUUUGGAUGAAAGUAUAGACAAAAUUCGAUUUGAUCCCUUUAUUGUAGAAGAGAUUCAAAAAAUUGCUGAAGGCCCAUAUAUAGAUGUUGUUAAACUUCAAACUAUGAGAUGUCUUUUUGAAGCAUACGAACAUGUACUGUCUCUCUUGGAGAAUGUGUUUACUCCUAUGUUCUGCCACAGUGAUGAGUAUUUCAGGCAACUUUUAAGAGGUGCAGAAUCACCAACACGCAAUUCAAAAUUGAACAGAGGUAGCCUAAGUUUGGAUGAUUUCCGGAGCACACAGAAAAGAGGAGAAUCAUUUGGAAUCAGCAGAAUAGGUAGCAAAAUUAAAGGAGUAUUUAAAAGUACCACAAUGGAAGGAGCUAUGUUGCCUAACUAUGGGUUAGCUGAAGGUGAAGAUGACUUUAUUGAAGAAGGUAUUGUUGUAAUGGAAGAUGAUUCUCCAGUGGAAGCUGUGAGCACACCUAAUACUCCCCGAAACCUUGCUGCAUGGAAAAUUAGCAUUCCAUAUGUAGACUUUUUUGAAGAUCCUUCCUCUGAAAGGAAAGAGAAAAAGGAGAGAAUACCUGUGUUUUGUAUUGAUGUCGAAAGAAAUGAUAGAAGAGCAGUUGGGCAUGAGCCUGAACAUUGGUCUGUCUAUAGAAGAUAUCUAGAAUUCUAUGUACUUGAAUCAAAACUAACAGAAUUUCAUGGCACAUUUCCUGAUGCCCAGCUUCCUUCCAAGAGGAUCAUUGGCCCCAAAAAUUAUGAAUUCUUAAAGUCAAAGAGAGAAGAGUUUCAGGAAUAUUUACAGAAACUUCUACAGCAUCCAGAACUGAGUAAUAGUCAACUUCUGGCAGAUUUUCUCUCCCCCAAUGGUGGAGAAACACAGUUUCUUGAUAAGAUACUACCAGAUGUAAAUCUUGGGAAAAUUAUAAAGUCUGUUCCUGGAAAACUAAUGAAAGAGAAAGGUCAGCAUUUGGAACCUUUCAUCAUGAAUUUCAUUAAUUCUUGUGAAUCUCCAAAGCCUAAACCAAGUAAACCGGAACUGACCAUUCUCAGCCCUACUUCAGAAAACAACAAGAAGCUUUUCAGUGAUCUGUUUAAGAAUAAUGCAAACCGUGCUGAGAAUACAGAAAGAAAGCAAAAUCAGAAUUAUUUUAUGGAGAUGAUGACUGUAGAAGGAGUCUAUGAUUACCUGAUGUAUGUAGGACGGGUGGUUUUCCAAGUUCCUGACUGGCUUCAUCAUCUCUUAAUGGGAACUCGAAUCCUGUUUAAAAACACCCUGGAAAUGUAUACUGACUACUAUCUUCAUUGUAAACUAGAACAGCUAUUUCAGGAGCACCGUUUGGUGUCACUCAUAACACUUCUCAGAGAUGCUGUAUUCUGUGAAAACACUGAACCUCGCUCUCUCCAAGAUAAGCAAAAACGAGCAAAACAGACUUUUGAAGAAAUGAUGAAUUAUAUUCCAGGAACUCAUGAAGGAUCUGAAAGGAUCACUUACUUUUGUCCAUUAUGCGUCAUGCAUCUUAAUUGGAAAAUUCUAUGUAGUAUUGGUGAAUUAGGGGAUUCAUAAAGAUCCGUAUUGGGCCACAUAUCUUGAAAAUAUCAAGGAUCUACUAUGCUUAUUAUAAAUUGAAUUUGGCCUUUGCCUUGUAGGGUUAGAUUUAUCUCCUAGAAGCAAACAUAAGAUCUGAUAGUCAAGUGUAUUGGUGAAGAAGCCAAGUAUGAAAGCAUCAGACUUCUAUUUGAUGGCUUACAACAGCCAGUUCUCAAUAAGCAGCUGACUUACGUUUUAUUGGACAUUGUGAUACAAGAACUAUUUCCAGAGCUCAAUAAGGUAA
Mirounga angustirostris (Northern elephant seal) is the source of this 5253-nucleotide RNA transcript. It is a transcript of the gene named sorting nexin 14, with no coding region annotated. The record is from RefSeq and is a predicted model, not a curated record. NCBI's taxonomy places the organism in Eukaryota, Metazoa, Chordata, Mammalia, Carnivora, Phocidae. The transcript has 29 exons.